UUUAGGACUCUCUCUCCUCUGUUAGUGAGAAUUUUCUCUCGAAACCUUAGACCUUCUUAUCAAAAAAAAAAUCCUUCAGAAGGUUUAAUGGUUGUUGAGAGGAUUAGAGAGUCCAAUGGUUUUUCCUUCCGAUUUCGGUGUUCCCGACCGGCUUAGCUUCCGGCGUUGCAUCGAUUCUUUUGAUGAACGCUCGGAUUUGUCUCUGGGAAGCGGUGGCUACGCUAGCACCAACUUCGUCGGCUUUAGACUCCGGGAGGCAGUGGCUCCUGUAGCACUGUUCCUCGCCGGCUUAUCUCGGGUUUAUCCCGACUCCGUUUGAUCUACGCCUCCGUUCUUCUAUGUUCCAACUGACUCUUGAUCUGCUCAAACUUGUUGAAAUACACAGUUUUCAGAUCGAUUGCAGACGGUUUCCUUUUUUUUUUGUGCGUAGAUCCGCCAGAAUAGAUUUUUCGGUUGAAUCUCUUGUAAAGGCCGUUUUUGUUUGAGCGGUUUCUCUAUUGGUUCUUCUUCGCCGAUGGGCGGAGCUCUGCCGUGUCUCUUGACUGGUUUCUUCCGGAGGAAGAUGGUGGACUCUGGCUUUGACACGUUUUCAUUGAUCGCAGGGCGAUCGUCCACGUGGUGAGCGGUGUCCUUUCUUCAACGACGGUUUACCCUAAUGGAUUUUGUGGGUUUUAGUUUUUGUUUAGUUUGGCCUUUUAUAUUUUGACUUUUCUUGUAAAGUUUGUUUGGUUUUGUUUCCAUGGGUUUUUGUCCCAUUUAAUAAUACAGACGACAAAAAAAAAGAUCAGUUUUUGUUGUAACGGACACAUAACCACCUACAAAUAGAUUUUGGCUCUAUCCUUAUCUUGAAAAUUUAAGACUCCGAUGUGCCAUUUCUAUACCGGUUGGCAGGUUCAUAUUAUUAAUUUAAGUUUUUAUGAUUAAAAAACAGGAUAAAGUAAAU
Molecule: long non-coding RNA, 943 nt
Filed under: Brassica rapa (field mustard)
Lineage: Eukaryota; Viridiplantae; Streptophyta; Magnoliopsida; Brassicales; Brassicaceae
Description: long non-coding RNA (BRAP_LNC001626)
Source: RNAcentral